AUACCUUUCUCGGCCUUUUGGCUAAGAUCAAGUGUAGCAUAUGUUCUUAUCAGUUUAAUACCCGUAGGCCAUAUGCCCACACGGUAUAAUUCAUUUUUUGUAAGGGGCAGAGUCUGUUAAGGUAGCUUUUUAAAUUCAGGAAUCAGAAAAAUAUGAAGUCUAGCAUUAAAUUUAUAAAUGAAUCAGU
This is a small nuclear RNA of Lycium ferocissimum, 187 nucleotides long. RefSeq annotates it as U2 spliceosomal RNA. The record is from RefSeq and is a predicted model, not a curated record. Lineage: Eukaryota; Viridiplantae; Streptophyta; Magnoliopsida; Solanales; Solanaceae. The transcript has a single exon.